Molecule: ribosomal RNA, 486 nt
Filed under: Bacteroides thetaiotaomicron
Lineage: Bacteria; Pseudomonadati; Bacteroidota; Bacteroidia; Bacteroidales; Bacteroidaceae
Description: partial 23S ribosomal RNA
Rfam family: Bacterial large subunit ribosomal RNA
Source: RNAcentral
CGAACGGGGAAUAGCCCAAACCACCCAUGUUACGGCAUGUGUGGGGUUGUAGGACCACGAUGUCGCAAGACAUUUGACGAGUAGAAUCCUCUGGAAAGUUGAACCAUAGACGGUGAUAGUCCGGUAUACGAAGUCAAAUUAAGCGUAGUGGUAUCCUGAGUAGCGCGGGACACGAGAAAUCUUGCGUGAAUCUGCCGGGACCAUCCGGUAAGGCUAAAUACUCCCGAGAGACCGAUAGCGAACCAGUACUGUGAAGGAAAGGUGAAAAGCACUUCGAAUAGAAGAGUGAAAUAGUCCCUGAAACCGUGCGCCUACAAGCGGUCGGAGCUGCUUAAGCAGUGACGGCGUGCCUUUUGCAUAAUGAACCUACGAGUUACUUUUUCCGGCAAGGUUAAGCAUCUUGAGAUGUGCAGCCGAAGCGAAAGCGAGUCUGAACAGGGCGUCGAGUCGGAAGGAGUAGACGCGAAACCAAGUGAUCUACCCUUG